RNAcentral lists this ribosomal RNA (118 nucleotides) under uncultured beta proteobacterium. RNAcentral describes it as "partial 16S ribosomal RNA". It matches the Rfam family "Bacterial small subunit ribosomal RNA", at positions 338 to 456 of the family's 1533-position model. Lineage: Bacteria; Pseudomonadati; Pseudomonadota; Betaproteobacteria. The record is from RNAcentral.
CCUACGGGAGGCAGCAGUGGGGAAUUUUGGACAAUGGGGGCAACCCUGAUUCUUGCCAUGCCGCGGAAGGAUGAGGCCCUCGGGUUGUAAACCGCUUUUAGCCGGAAAGAAAUGACGU